UCUGAUCAUAUAUACCAUAAAGAGAUCAAUUUCCUUGCAAAUUUUUAAAAUAUAAAAGCUGAUCUCUCAUUGGUCAUAUUUUGCUAAACUUGAUCAAUAAGAACAAAGCCAGUUAUCUUCUUUAUUCUAAAUAGUUGUUAUUGAUCCAUGAGUAACAUAACAUGCUUAUGAUGAUUCUAAAAAAUUGUUAAUUGAGAACUAUUUUUAUACACAUUUCCAACAUUCUCAAUACCAAUCUGUUUCAAUGUUUUGGAUUGAAAUCCUGCUUUAUAUCAAACAUUAAAAGAUUUUCCAAAAAGUAUGCUUUCUUCAUCAUUCUUUAACAUGUUUCAAUGAAAAACUGGUAAUUAUUGGACAAUUAAGUGAUAUUUCGAGAAUUUAAAUUAUAAAUUGAAGAAAACCCUGAAAUGAAAAAUUGGGAAUUGUUUUUAAUGUUUUCAAUUUGUAGGAAAAACUUUACACCCUGUUUUUGAUCGAAAAUGAUUAAUUUGUCUGAAUUUAUCUAUAUGAAACAGUACACCAAUGUAAACAGCUGAAGUUGUACAGUGUACACUGUACAGCGUAUAGCGGCCAUUUUGUUAAAUAUCUUUUACAGAAAAUACAAAUCGAUCGUUCUUAA
Eurytemora carolleeae is the source of this 619-nucleotide long non-coding RNA. RefSeq lists it as uncharacterized. The record is from RefSeq and is a predicted model, not a curated record. Lineage: Eukaryota; Metazoa; Arthropoda; Copepoda; Calanoida; Temoridae. The transcript is spliced from 2 exons.